UCUCAUGGUUUGUCAAAGUGAGA
RNAcentral lists this small nuclear RNA (23 nucleotides) under Arabidopsis thaliana (thale cress). RNAcentral describes it as "snRNA_18167". Lineage: Eukaryota; Viridiplantae; Streptophyta; Magnoliopsida; Brassicales; Brassicaceae. The record is from RNAcentral.